GCUGAAACGUGAGUUUUUAGCAAAUCUCAAAAAAACAGUCUCAGUUCGGAUUGAAGUCUGCAACUCGACUUCAUGAAGUCGGAAUCGCUAGUAAUCGCGAAUCAGCAUGUCGUGGUGAAUACGUUCUCGGGGUUUGUACACACCGCCCGUCAAACCACGAAAGUUGACAAUACCCAAAACCAGUAGCCUAACUUGCAAAAGAGGGAACUGUCUAAGGUAGGGUUGAUGAUUGGGGUUAAGUCGUAACAAGGUAUCCCUACCGGAAGGUGGGGAUGGAUCACCUCCUUUCUAAGGAAAAUAUCAUCUUCAGUUGUGAAAGACUUAAAAAAAGUUUUUUAUUUUUUAAGAUAAAAAUCAAUAAUGGCUUGGGCCUAUAGCUCAGUUGGUUAGAGCACACGCCUGAUAAGCGUGAGGUCGAUGGUUCGAGUCCAUUUAGGCCCACCAAAAUAUCCAUUUUAAACCAACAACCU
RNAcentral lists this unclassified non-coding RNA (470 nucleotides) under Candidatus Phytoplasma prunorum. Its description in RNAcentral is "partial contains 16S ribosomal RNA and 16S-23S ribosomal RNA intergenic spacer". The stretch from base 1 to 288 matches the Rfam family "Bacterial small subunit ribosomal RNA", at positions 1249 to 1533 of the family's 1533-position model. Lineage: Bacteria; Bacillati; Mycoplasmatota; Mollicutes; Acholeplasmatales; Acholeplasmataceae. The record is from RNAcentral.